UCGGGAAUUUUGGGCAAUGGGCGAAAGCCUGACCCAGCAACGCCGCGUGAAGGGUGAAGUCUUUCGGGAUGUAAACUUCGUAAGAAUAGGAAGAAUAAAUGACGGUACUAUUUGUAAGGUCCGGCUAACUACGUGCCAGCAGCCGCGGUAAUACGUAGGGAUCAAGCGUUGUUCGGAUGUACUGGGCGUAAAGGGCGCGUAGGCGGCAACUCAAGUCAUCUGUGAAAUCUCCGAGCUUAACUCGGAACGGUCAGAUGAUACUGUUUUGCUAGAGUACAGAAGGGGCAAUCGGAAUUCUUGGUGUAGCGGUGAAAUGCGUAGAUAUCAAGAGGAACACCUGAGGUGAAGACGGGUUGCUGGGCUGAUACUGACGCUGAGGCGCGAAAGCUAGGGUAGCAAAC
Molecule: ribosomal RNA, 401 nt
Filed under: uncultured bacterium
Lineage: Bacteria
Description: bacterial SSU rRNA
Rfam family: Bacterial small subunit ribosomal RNA
Source: RNAcentral